ACAUGCUUGAUAUUUAUAAUGUUUUAAAAUGUUAGUUUGUCCGUUUAAAAUGUAGUAACCUAUGUGUGAGUCAAGUUACUAGCUAGCUAUGCUAACGGCUACAGCAAGUCGAGCCUUUGUCCCCUUCAAAUGUGCUCAUGUGGGCUCCUGCAGCCACACACCUGUGUGGAGAAAAGCUAAUGGCUAACGGCAUCGAGCGGCUACAGGCAGGGAGCGGUGGGUCUAGCGUCUGUCCUUUUUCUGUAAUCACAUACACCUGCGGGGAACAGCUGAUCGUUAUCGCCCUUCCAGCGGCGACAGACAGGAAGCGGUGGAUCUAGCUCGCUGUAGAGGGCAAAUCCCAGUUGCCCACAUGCAAGGAGGCUGUCAAACAGAGAAAUCACUGCAGACUGUUGGUACACGGACAUCUGCUGCCCAGCUCAGGAGUGAAGUACCUUUUGUUUUGAUGAGGUGAUGGUGAGGACAGCCACAGCUUCCAUCUGGUAGAGGACUGCUUCCGCUCAGUCUUCCAAAUAGUGAUGAGAACAAGGAUCACCACAUCUCCCUGUUUACCCUACUUUCAUGCAUUUCGUCUGCAAGGCCCUGCAAAAGCUUCUCCUUCGUCCUCAAACCCCCAGACUUCUUAAUUAACUCAGUAACCUAUACAUUGCACAUUGGAGUGUGAAGGUAACAGUUUGUUCUAGCUUUGGAGUAGUGGUGUAUUUUUUUGGUUUACAAUAAAGUUGGCUUUAACUAUUA
Betta splendens (Siamese fighting fish) is the source of this 738-nucleotide long non-coding RNA. RefSeq lists it as uncharacterized. NCBI's taxonomy places the organism in Eukaryota, Metazoa, Chordata, Actinopteri, Anabantiformes, Osphronemidae. The record is from RefSeq and is a predicted model, not a curated record. The transcript is spliced from 3 exons.